Molecule: unclassified non-coding RNA, 240 nt
Filed under: soil metagenome
Description: partial contains 5.8S ribosomal RNA, internal transcribed spacer 2, and large subunit ribosomal RNA
Source: RNAcentral
AACGGUCUAUACCUGCGGUACCUGCGGAGGGAUCAUUAACGCGCCGUGGAGGUUGCCUUUAAACAGGUCUGACCUUCCACCUGGCCACCCUUGUUUAUCUUUAACCUGUUGCUUUGGUGGGCCCGCUGCAAGGCCGCUGGAGAAUUUAAAAGUUUUCUGGCCCGUGCCCACCAAAGUCCUAGUGAACUCUUUGUUAAUUUUCUGCUGUCUGAGCAUUAAAAGAGACAAUUUUUAAAACUU